RNAcentral lists this ribosomal RNA (440 nucleotides) under uncultured bacterium. RNAcentral describes it as "partial 16S ribosomal RNA". It matches the Rfam family "Bacterial small subunit ribosomal RNA", at positions 338 to 795 of the family's 1533-position model. The record is from RNAcentral.
CCUACGGGAGGCAGCAGUAGGGAAUAUUGCUCAAUGGGGGAAACCCUGAAGCAGCAACGCCGCGUGGAGGAUGAAGGUUUUCGGAUUGUAAACUCUUUUUGUUAGAGAAGAUAAUGACGGUAUCUAACGAAUAAGCACCGGCUAACUACGUGCCAGCAGCCGCGGUAAUACGGAGGGUGCAAGCGUUACUCGGAAUCACUGGGCGUAAAGAGCGCGUAGGCGGGAUAGCAAGUCAGAUGUGAAAACCUAUGGCGUAACCAUAGAACUGCAGUUGAAACUGUUAUUCUAGAGUAUGGGAGAGGUAGGUGGAAUGUUUAGUGUAGGGGUAAAAUCCGUAGAGAUCAAGCGGAAUACUCAUUGCGAAGGCGACCUGCUAGAACAUAACUGACGCUGAUGCGCGAAAGCGUGGGGAGCGAACAGGAUUAGAUACCCGUGUAGUC